RNAcentral lists this ribosomal RNA (256 nucleotides) under uncultured bacterium. Its description in RNAcentral is "partial 16S ribosomal RNA". It matches the Rfam family "Bacterial small subunit ribosomal RNA", at positions 96 to 353 of the family's 1533-position model. The record is from RNAcentral.
UGGCGGACGGGUGAGUAAUGUCUGGGAAACCGCCUGAUGGAGGGGGAUAACUACUGGAAACGGUAGCUAAUACCGCAUAACGUCGCAAGACCAAAGAGGGGGACCUUCGGGCCUCUUGCCAUCAGAUGUGCCCAGAUGGGAUUAGCUAGUAGGUGGGGUAACGGCUCACCUAGGCGACGAUCCCUAGCUGGUCUGAGAGGAUGACCAGCCACACUGGAACUGAGACACGGUCCAGACUCCUACGGGAGGCAGCAUG